This 254-nucleotide ribosomal RNA is filed under the name uncultured bacterium. RNAcentral describes it as "partial 16S ribosomal RNA". It matches the Rfam family "Bacterial small subunit ribosomal RNA", at positions 524 to 776 of the family's 1533-position model. The record is from RNAcentral.
UACGUAGGUGGCAAGCGUUGUCCGGAAUUAUUGGGCGUAAAGCGCGCGCAGGCGGUCCUUUAAGUCUGAUGUGAAAGCCCACGGCUCAACCGUGGAGGGUCAUUGGAAACUGGGGGACUUGAGUACAGAAGAGAAGAGUGGAAUUCCACGUGUAGCGGUGAAAUGCGUAGAAUAUCAGGAGGAAUACCGGUGGCGAAAGCGACUCUCUGGACGGCAACUGACGCUGAGGCACGAAAGCGUGGGGAGCAAACAGG